UUUGACCAAGAAGGAGAGUGAUGGAGUGCUGCAUCAGAUGACCUGGCCUCUACAAUCACCUGACCUCAACCCAAUUGAGAUGGUUUAGGAUGAGUUGGACCGCAGAGUGAAGGAAAGCAGCCAACAAGUGUUCAGCAUAUGUGGAACUCCAAGACUGCCAGAAAAGCAUUCCAGGUAAAGCUGGUUGAGAGAAUGCCAAGAGUGUGCAAAGCAGUCAUCAAGGCAAAUGGUGGCUACUGAUCAUCUCCAGCAUUAAACAGACCCUGUUUAGGAACGUUCAACACUAUGUACUGUUUAGUAGUGGGAUGUUUUUUCUGAAGAUAAUCUAGUCUUUCUAAAUUCACCUCUCAUCUCCCUCAUGUAGAUAUAAAUGAGUGCUUAAAUGAGAAGAACAUCUGUAGGCUAUUCAACUUGUAUCAACACCUUUGAAAGCUACUACUGUCAAUGCUAUUCUGUCUUCAGAUCGCUUGGCUUUGAAUCAUGUGGUGGUCAAUAUAAUCUUAUUGAAAGUGUGACUGUGUUAACGUGUGAGGGAUUAUCACCCUCUCUUUGUAAACAUACAAUCUUUAAUCAUCUUUCCAUCUCCACUACUUUUCCCUUUACCACUCACUUUCUCUAUCAGACAUAGAUGAGUGUGUUGAGAACCAACAUUUUUGUGGGGAAUGGAGAAUCGAUCUCAAUCAGCUGGGCAGCUACCUGUGCAAGUGUCACACAGGAUGCAGUCGCUAUGGCAACAGACAAACUCAGUGUGCAGUUUUAUUUACCCAGGCCAAAACCUGAAUGCCAGUUACUGGUGCCAGUGUCCUGCUGGAUUUACUAACUUUAGCAAAAACCAAACUAAGUGUGUAGGUGAGAGUCAAGCACCAUUCCACCUGUUGUCCAUGAUGUACUCCUUUAUCAUGCACAGCUAUGUACAUAGUGUACUGUAGAAGGGUAUUGAGAUAAUGUCUCCAUGCUUUUACUUUAGAGCUUCUGUGACCAGCAUGAAACACAGCCUGGACAGACUGUACCAGGCGUUUGACAGGUUCUUGUCUCUGUUGAGAAAAACAGUUAGGUGUUGAGCAACUCUACGUUGUCUGGACCUACAAGAUAGUUACUGACUGGAGAUGUGCUUUUGACAGUAAGUCACCACACACAAACACACACAUGCAUAUAACUCUUGUCUCUUUUCUGUAGUUACUGGUUAAUACCACUGAUGUUCUUCAAUUGGGCCUCCAGUCCAAUGGUCACCGUAGUAGCAGUGAAGUGACUAGGUUACUGAGGAAGAUUGAA
Oncorhynchus nerka (sockeye salmon) is the source of this 1272-nucleotide long non-coding RNA. RefSeq lists it as uncharacterized. The transcript is spliced from 3 exons. The record is from RefSeq and is a predicted model, not a curated record. NCBI's taxonomy places the organism in Eukaryota, Metazoa, Chordata, Actinopteri, Salmoniformes, Salmonidae.